This 301-nucleotide ribosomal RNA is filed under the name uncultured bacterium. RNAcentral describes it as "partial 16S ribosomal RNA". It matches the Rfam family "Bacterial small subunit ribosomal RNA", at positions 509 to 807 of the family's 1533-position model. The record is from RNAcentral.
CAGUAGCCGCGGUAAUACGAGGGGUGCCAGCGUUAUUCGGAUUGAUUGGGUGUAAAGGGUGUGCAGACGGCUUAUUAAGUCACUUGUUAAAUUCUUCGGCCUAACUGAAGGUCUGCAAGUGAUACUGAUGAGCUAGAGAGUGGAAGAGAGAAGUGGAAUUCUCGGAGUAGCGGUAAAAUGCGUAGAUCUCGAGAGGAACACCAGUGGCGAAGGCAGCUUCUUGGUCCAUUCCUGACGUUCAUACACGAAAGCGUGGGGAGCAAACAGGAUUAGAUACCCGAGUAGUCCCUGUCUCUUAUAC